Molecule: long non-coding RNA, 1096 nt
Organism: Zingiber officinale
Lineage: Eukaryota; Viridiplantae; Streptophyta; Magnoliopsida; Zingiberales; Zingiberaceae
Exons: 2
Source: RefSeq, a predicted model, not a curated record
UUUAUCGCCGCCUCCUUCAAUUUCCUUCCUCUUCGCAACCCUUGAGCUCAGCAAGCCCUUCUUCCCUCUCCGUAGCAAGCAAGGAGGAGCUCAAGGUUAUCCUAAAUUUCAGAAUGACAGCGAGCGCCAGCCGUGCGAACCGGCCGCCUGCCGGGCGCCUGGCGACGCAGCGAUGCCAUCGCGUGUCGCCGCACACGAAACGGCCAAGAUGCCUUGGACUAACUGUUACAGCACCCGCGCCACCAAUGCCAUGUUCUUCUUCUUCUUAGAAGGAAUCGAUCCUCCAAACAGAUCCCUAAUCCAUUGCUAAACUGGGUGGUUUUGAUGCGGAAAUCUGAAAGAAUGCCAUGAUUUUGAUCAUUCACUCACAAUCCCUAAUCAAGCGUGUUUAAAUGAAGCGCAGUCAUACAUCCUUGUUCACCGAUACCCCAGGAUCAGUGAUUCAACAUGUUGAUGGUGAAGAUAAAGAAUUUUUAUAUUAUGUAAGUAAUACACUUCUUUUCAUUUGCUUGUGGUCAAGGCCCCAUAAUUGUUGAUGCACUUAUGUUUUGAAUUUGCCUUUUCUAGAUUUUAACUCUUCACCUUGUUUGUUCACUAGCGGAACAAUGUCCGGCAUGAUGCGUCAUGAGUAACUCCACUCAUAUUUGCUGCAAUCAAGCUACUCUUUGUUUGAUACCUUAUUUCAAUAUAUUCUUUUAUUAGCUUUAACUCAUUCUUAGCUUAAUCCUGCAGAUUAGUAUUCUCUUGCUAGCUGUAAUUAGGCUUCAAUGAUUUUGAUCCAUCACUGAUGUUAUUCUGAUACUUGGUUAAAUUGAUUCAGCUAUCAUUACCAACAUAGCAGGUGGUUUUUAAGUUUAGCAUUGACUGGUUUGAUAGUGGAUGUUGUCUUGGCCUUCUUAUCCUAAAAGUCUUGCUCCUUCUAUCAAAAUAAGGGCAUAGUUACAAGUCUAGAUAACACAGAAUAAUAAUGCAACAAAACAAUACUCUUCUUGUUCUUUCUCCUUUAUCUUGUAGCAUCCAAUUUGUCGUAGGCGUAUAUUAAACUGAUCCUAUGCUGUAAUGGUUUAUUUGGAAUGUCAAAUAGUUAAAGAUUGUA